This is an RNA transcript of Quercus lobata, 1779 nucleotides long. It is a transcript of the gene named putative receptor protein kinase ZmPK1, with no coding region annotated. The transcript has a single exon. The record is from RefSeq and is a predicted model, not a curated record. NCBI's taxonomy places the organism in Eukaryota, Viridiplantae, Streptophyta, Magnoliopsida, Fagales, Fagaceae.
AUGGGUUCACCAGUCUUGUUCCACUUCCUUCUACUCUCUUUGGCAUUUUCCUUCCCACUUUCAUCUUCAUCCGUCGUUAUGAGUAAAGGCACAUCCCUAUCCGUAGAGAAACCAGAAAUUCUAACAUCCCAAAUGGCGUCUUUUCUGCUGGCUUCUAUUCCGUGGGUGAAAAUGCCUUUUGCUUUGCCAUUUGGUUUAGCAACUCACGCACCGUAGUUUGGAUGGCAAACCGUGACCACCCAGUUAAUGGAAAGCACUGAAAGCUCUCUCUCCUCAAUAGUGGCAAUCUCAUCUUAACUGAUGCCACUAAGUCAAAUGUCACCGUUUGGGCCACAGGCACCGCCUCGCCCCACUUAGUCCAAUUAUUUCUCUACAACACAGGUAAUCUUGAUCUACUUAACAAGGACGAUGUUAAUUUGUGGGAAAGCUUUGACUUCCCUACAGACACCCUUCUUCCUCAACAACUACUCACUGGAAAAACAAAGCUCGUCUCCUCAAGAAGCCAGACCAACUUUUCCUCUGGUUUUUAUAAGCUUUCCAAGUCCAACAGAUAUGAUAACAUUUUUAGCCUUUUUUUAAAUUGUCCUGAUGUCUGUAGUGUUUAUUGGUCAUGCCUUGUGUUUAACAACAGUAGAAUUGGUGUCCUUAAUUCCUUAGGGAACUUCAAUUCAUCCGAUGAUUUUACUUUUAUGUCGGCCGACAAUGGAGUAGUGCUUCAUAGAAGAUUGACACUUGAUUAUGAUGGUAAUAUUCGAUUAUACAGUUGGGAAGAGAAGGGGCAGACUUGGGUUGUUUCAUGGCAAGCCAUUCAGAGACCUUGCUGGAUUGAUGGUGCCUGUGGGGCCAACAGUUUGUGCAAUUAUGUUACUGGUUCUGGCAGGAAAUGUUCCUGCCCUCCUGGAUACAAGAUGAAAAUUCGUAGAGACUGGGCUUAUGGUUGUGAACCUGAAGUUGAUCUCUCUUGCAACAGAAGUGAGCCAGGCUUUCUGCAAUUAUCCCAUGCUGACUUCUACGGGUAUGAUGUUAAUAUCUCCCGUAAUUACACAUUUGAUCAAUGUAGGGAUUUAUGUUUGGCAGAAUGUGAUUGCAAAGCGUUCCAAUACAACUUUGACGAGUAUGUUGGUUUUUCAAUUUGUUAUGCUAAGAUACGAUUGUUGAAUGGAUACCUUUUGCCAGAUUUAAAUGGAAACAUCUACUUGAAACUGCCAAAAAGCAAAAUCUUGUCCCAUACCAAUCCUCCAGAAGAAUUCAGUUUAAAUUGCUCAAGUAAAGGUACUCUACAAAGCAGUAAAUACUAUGAAAACGAAACAGUAAAAUUCCUGUUAUGGUUUGCUAUUGGGGUGGGUGGACUUGAAAUCAUCUGUAUCUUUGUGGUGUGGUGUCUCUUGACCAGAACCCAAAAAAUUUUAGAUGUUGACAAGCAAGGCUAUGUUAUUGCUGCCAUUGGAUUCAAAAAAUUUACUUACGCUGAAUUAAAAAAGGCCACACAAGGUUUUGCUAAGGAGAUUGGAAGAGGUGCAGGGAGAAUUGUAUACAAAGAGGUGUUGUCCGACAAUCAAGUUGCAGCAAUCAAACAUCUCAAUGAAGCUAAUCAAGGAGAGAGUGAAUUUCUAGCGGAAGUAAGCAUCAUUGGAAAGAUUAACCACAUGAACUUAAUAGAGAUGUGGGGGUAUUGCGCAGAAGGAAAGCACAGACUCUUGGUGUACCAGUAUAUGGAGCAUGGUUCUUUGGCAGAUAACCUCUCAGCCAAUACACUUGACUAGGAGAAAAGAUUCGAAA